AAAAUCCCAAGUCCCUCUAUCCCCA
Molecule: transfer RNA, 25 nt
Filed under: Prunus clarofolia
Lineage: Eukaryota; Viridiplantae; Streptophyta; Magnoliopsida; Rosales; Rosaceae
Description: partial tRNA-Leu
Source: RNAcentral